RNAcentral lists this ribosomal RNA (497 nucleotides) under uncultured bacterium. Its description in RNAcentral is "partial 16S ribosomal RNA". It matches the Rfam family "Bacterial small subunit ribosomal RNA", at positions 28 to 507 of the family's 1533-position model. The record is from RNAcentral.
GAUGAACGCUGGCGGCGUGCCUAAUACAUGCAAGUCGAGCGAACAGACGAGGAGCUUGCUCCUUUGACGUUAGCGGCGGACGGGUGAGUAACACGUGGGUAACCUACCUAUAAGACUGGGAUAACUUCGGGAAACCGGAGCUAAUACCGGAUAAUAUUUCGAACCGCAUGGUUCGAUAGUGAAAGAUGGCUUUGCUAGCACUUAUAGAUGGACCUGCGCCGUAUUAGCUAGUUGGUAAGGUAACGGCUUACCAAGGCAACGAUACGUAGCCGACCUGAGAGGGUGAUCGGCCACACUGGAACUGAGACACGGUCCAGACUCCUACGGGAGGCAGCAGUAGGGAAUCUUCCGCAAUGGGCGAAAGCCUGACGGAGCAACGCCGCGUGAGUGAUGAAGGUCUUCGGAUCGUAAAACUCUGUUAUUAGGGAAGAACAAACGUGUAAGUAACUGUGCACGUCUUGACGGUACCUAAUCAGAAAGCCACGGCUAACUACGUG